Molecule: long non-coding RNA, 2898 nt
Organism: Zingiber officinale
Lineage: Eukaryota; Viridiplantae; Streptophyta; Magnoliopsida; Zingiberales; Zingiberaceae
Exons: 3
Source: RefSeq, a predicted model, not a curated record
AAGGUUACCUCCCCUAGGAUUUACUCUAUCUAGCUUCACUCACCAUAACCCAGGGUUACCUCCCUCUAGGAUUUUCUCCACCUGACUUCACUCACUAUGACCUAAGAUUACCAUCCCCUAGAGUUUUCUCUACUUGGGUUCACUCACUAAGAGUCAACAUUAGAUCGGCCCACCAGGGAUUCGAUAUCGGGUCCUCCAAACCUAUCAAAUCCACCUGACUUCCACGAUCUACCGAGAUUUCCCUUGCCUAGCUGCAACUAGGACUUCCCUUGCCUAACUAUAGUUUGGUUGACUUCUCACCCUUGCCUAGCCGCGACUAGAACUUUCCUUGAUCAUGCUUAUAAAAAUGUAUUUGUCAGACAUUAAAAUCUUAGAGGUUGAUUGCACCAACAACCACAUGGUCAUGUGGUCGCCCGAGCAGAGGAGAAACAAAGUCUGGUCGUGUGAUCCCACACAUGCUUGUAGCUUUCUAGAGACGAUGCAGACACCGGUCGUGUGAAUCCAUACAGUCGUGUGGCUUGACCAUAAGAGGAGAAGAACACAGCAAUGUGAUCCCACACGGCUAUGCCACUCGUCUAGAGAACAACCAAGACAUGACCGUGUGACUCCACACGGCUGUGUGACCUUAGCCAAGGCAAAGAGGACAUCGGCCGUGUGGAUGCCAAAAGGUCAUGGAAUGGGUCUUGUCAGGCCUGUACCCUGCACUAUAUAAGGGAUUUUCUUUCCCUUUCUAGGGGGAGGAAGGUUCUCCCUUUGGGAGUGCCAUCUUGGUACCAAUCUCCAUCUUCUCCGAUCUCCGUUCUAUGAUCCAAAGUUGUAUCCAUCACCUCAUCAACUCUGGAAGCCUAGGAUUGGAUCCAAAGAUUACUCUAUGACAUUGGAUAAGAAUCUCUUCCCUCUUCUCUCUUGUUGAGUUUGAAUGCUUAUAAUUCAUAUGUCUUUAGAUCUCUUUCUUCUUACUACAGAGUAGAUCCUUUAUUCUAGCAUUAAGGGAGUAAUUAUGGUGUGGUUUGAUGUAAUAACUCAUGGAUAUGCCAAUUUCAUAUCUAGAUGACAUUAUCAUGCUUUUGUAUCUAUUUGAUCUUAUGUGAAUGCAUGUAUUUGAACUUAAUUCUCAUGUUUGAUUGAAUGGUUGUGUAGAGUUGUUGUUCCUAUAGGGGAAUGCUAUCAUAUGACCAAGGGGCCCUAGUGACAGGAUAACCCGUUAAUAGACGUCUAAGGUAUCACCUUGAAAGGAAAGACAAUUCUCCACUUGGAAGUAGAUAGUUGUGUGUGUAACUGUCAUCCUCAUCUUUGUGGUUAUUGAGUAUGAGUGUGUUCUUAUGUUAUAUGACCAAGGCGCCCUAGCGACAGGGGUAACCCGUUAACGGAAUUCAUAGGAAUCAUUCUUGUUUAAUGGCAAAAGAUGUUGAUUUAAAUAUCUAGUCGGCUUGUCCACUGUAGGGAAGAGUUGACAACUUCCUAUAAGUGCAUGUGAAUUGAGGAUCACUACAAGAAAAAUCCUCAUAGACAUCAGUAGAACAGCAAUGGUUUUAAGCAAAAAUCGAUGUCUUUGAGUAGUUUACACCGAUUUUUCCAAAAAUCGGUGUCUAUGAGCGCAGAUUUUCGCUCAUAGACAUCGAUUUUUUUAGCCAAUGUCGAUGAGCGCCUUUUUUUUUCAUUAAUAGAUAUUGAUUUUAACCGUGGUUUUUAAAACUCGGUGUCUAUACAUCAAAAUUCUGGCGGACUUUCUUAGUGCGCUUUUUUUUGGGCUUCUCCUCGCCCACCAUAAAUUGAAACCCUAAUCCUCCGCAUCCUCCUUUUAGGAGUUACCAUUUGAAAGACGAGCAAUGGAUCUCUUAACGGCGAUGUGGAUGGCGACGGUGAACUUAUUCCCUUUUCUUUGGCUUGGAGGAAGCCAGCUUCUUGAUGGCGCGGGGUAGAACAGUGGACGACAAGAAAGAGCAUUCGAUCCCAACUUUCCUUCCCUGGCACAAGAAUUGCAUUAUUCCUCCACCAAAUCCCCCAACUAGCAAGGAACAAAAGGUGCGGGGGAAAGAGGGAAAGGGCGAAUAGGGGUUAGCCUCUUUCUUUCUUUUUAUCUUUCAUUUGAUCGAUAUCAUUAACAAGACUGCUGGCGUUGCUUGGAAGGAUCUUUACUGGUAUUGAUAUUUUAGUUUAACAUUUCCUCCAUUUUUUUUGUUUUUGACUCUGUGGUUUGAUAAUUAUAGCAAUGCGUUUACUCUUGCGAUUUUAGUGUCUUCUUAAUUCUUUUUUUUUCUUAUUGAUGCUAUGGUUCUUGAUGCGAAGGGGUAGGAAUUUAGAGCGGAAGAUGGCAUUCGUCGAUGUGAUGUUGGGGCUGUGCGGGUUCGGCCUGGGGUUGUCGAUGGGAAUUGUCAUUGGAUAUUGCUUCUUCAUCUACUUCCAACACUCUAAUGUCAAGCUGUUCUACGAGUCCUUUGACGAGUCGUUUGAGGGGCGGUGGAUCGUUUCCGACAAGGUGGACUACCAAGGAAGGUAACUAGAUUGGUGAAUGAGGAUCCGCCCUGUCCUGCAAUGAACAUAAUCUGUAAAUCUUCCUGUAACAAAUAUUAGAUAUUAUCUAAAUUUGACAUUUACGUGUGGCAACUUAACAGAAUAUGCGGGAAUAAUUUUUUUGAGCAGAUGAAUAUACUUGGCUUUAAUUAGCAUAAAGUCAAAAAGAUUGAUGUGGCAAAGAUAGAAAUAUUAAGAUGGAUGCAUGGAGUUACUAGAAGGAAUAAAGUAGACAAUAUUUGUAUUUUAGAGCAAUUAUCUAUAGCUUCAAUACUAAUAAAAUUUGAGAGAGAAUAAAUUGAGAUGAUAUGGACACACUUAAAGAUUACUAAUAAGUUCUAUGCUUAGUAGAGUUGAAUUGUUAGUGUAAGAUAUCAUAGGUCG